This 355-nucleotide long non-coding RNA is filed under the name Monodelphis domestica (gray short-tailed opossum). RNAcentral's name for it is "lncRNA (ENSMODG00000050132.1)". Lineage: Eukaryota; Metazoa; Chordata; Mammalia; Didelphimorphia; Didelphidae. The record is from RNAcentral.
CCCAUAUUAAUCCUUUUGUGGGGAAAAAUCAAACAAAAACAUGAAGGAAGUGAGACAUGGUAUGCUUUUGGUUCAGAUUCAUACUCCAUCAGCUUCUUCUCUGGAAGCAGUGGGCAUUUUUCAAGCUCCACUUCCCACUUUCCUGAGAAGCGGCCAGAAACACCUGCUAGCUACCCAUCUUCCCUUGGUGUGUAUGCCAGAGCCAAUUGGUACAGGAAAGCCGAAGAUUUACACAAAAAGACCAAUUCUAGAAGUUUAUGAAAGGAAUCUGAUAGUGAUAGCUUUUGAGAGACUCGGUUCCAUUACAAAAUGGCACCUGAGAAGAGCCAUGACAAAAUGUUGGGCUGUGACAUGA